GGCUGAAAUUGUUCCCCUUGUCUCAAGGAAAAACGCGGAGACCACGGUCGGUCGGCAAAUGGUUGGCAGCACAGUUGUACAUCGGUGGGACACUGAGAGGGCCUAGUACAAUGUCUGGAAUUGUAUAUUGUGCACGACAGAGCACCUUCAUCCUAUCGCUCACUGGAUGGUUCUAUAAAAGCAAUUUUUCACUUCCCCCGGCUUUGCAGGAGCCAGGUGUGCGCCCCAUAAUACGCCUAUUAUACAGCCAUUCUCGGUAGCCAUUGCUUAUACAAUGACUCUUCUGAUUUGCUCCAUUAUGGUGUGGCUGCCAACAACUUCGGUCCCCAUCCAGUGCCUCUUCAGGUAUGCAUUUCGCAUAUACUUCCAGGCAAAAAUUUCACCCUCCUACUCUCUUUGUCUUAAGACAAACAAAAGUGACUUUUUUUUUUUUAAAAACUGCAUGUGCCUGCAGCACAGGCGCCCGAAAAGAGGAAACCUGUUUCCCUCCUUGGUUUCUGGUUUCUCCACCCAGCCUCCUCACCACCCUCCCUCUCCGCGCACCCAGUCCUUCCGGCCUCCACCCAGACUCCGAGAAGUGCCCCGACAUUCCAGGAUGCACAACAUUCUGUCAGGUGAAGUCUUGGUUUCACCGGUACCCCAAAGGUGGCUCUGCUUGAACAGGCCACCUCAGCUCAUCUUGCCUCAUACGGUCAUUGAAGUCCCUCAUGAUGAUUAAAGAUCCAAAUGUAGUUUUCCCAGGAGGCACGAAACCCAACUCGCUCCCUGUAGGCUGGGUAUUUGCAAUUGAAAAAUGUCUCUCCAGCUCCUGCUGCUGUUCGCCGGUGUAGACAGGUGUGUUCCUGCUGCCCCCUCUGCAGUGAACCCGAGGACGGGGAGGCGUAUGCGAAGGGUAAUGGGCCAGACGCGCCCUACAGACAGUCCCCACCACCCUCCGCAUCCUCUUGGGCUGGACCCUGAUGAGCAGGCGGGGAGCUCAGGUGGCAUCUACCCAAGCGCCCUGCGCUGAGACCACAGCUCUGCACUUCCCAGCCCCGAGGCCCUGCCCUGCUCUGGGCCUCAGUGCCCACAUCUUUGAAAUGGGUGUGACUGGGGCUCCGAUACCAUUACAAGCCCAUGGCAGAGGGCUAUGUCGACCCACCCUACUCCCCGGCGCCCUCUCUUCUACCUGCUGAUGGCCUCUGUAAUCAGAGUGCUCUGCUGAACUCCACAGCAUAAAUUAAUCUCACUCCUCGAACACCAGGAUUCCUUCCUUCCUGUCUGCUCCUGUUUCCAGUGAUCUACCAUUCUUCCAGAUGGUCAGACUUAGACCCAUUGGUUUUAUAUACUUUUUAUUUAUUUUUUGCCCACUCCUAAUUUGACCAGGUCUCCUGGAUUAUAUAUUGAUUUACCUGAGAUCUUAUGAAACUUGGACGUUUUGUCUUUGGCCCCUUACCGUCGAUGGGUGUACUGAAUAAAGGCUUUGACGGCAUACUGGUCAAAUGCAAAUAUUUGGAAGAAACACUGACUGUGUGGAAUAAAGCACUAGGAAAAAUGAUUCAAUCAGCAGGAGUAAGUGAGCCCUAAUUAAAGAAAUGGAAUUGACUAAAUGAGCCUGUACCCUAUUAGGAGAGUGAGUGACUGGAUAUGAGAGGGGCUGAGACCAUUUCACAGAAGAAACACUGAAGUGUUAGGUGUGAGAAUGAGAAGGAAUGAAGUGUAAGGUGAGAAAUCAUGUUACCCCUCCAGUAUUUGAAGACUCCCACGGAGAAGCCUCAGAACUAUUAACCUUGUGAAGUUCUAGGAAGCAGAAGCAGGACCUGUGGAGAGAGCUGUGUCACGCAGGCCUCUGUCAAGGA
This 1838-nucleotide long non-coding RNA is filed under the name Dasypus novemcinctus (nine-banded armadillo). Its description in RNAcentral is "lncRNA (ENSDNOG00000051085.1)". The record is from RNAcentral. Lineage: Eukaryota; Metazoa; Chordata; Mammalia; Cingulata; Dasypodidae.